RNAcentral lists this long non-coding RNA (315 nucleotides) under Elaeis guineensis (African oil palm). RNAcentral describes it as "long non-coding RNA (EGUI_LNC030699)". The record is from RNAcentral. Lineage: Eukaryota; Viridiplantae; Streptophyta; Magnoliopsida; Arecales; Arecaceae.
GGGAUAUUUAUUAUUUUUGACUUUUUUUUGUAUGGUGUGGAUGGUUGCCAUAGCAUGAAGAAAGCUAAGUAUAAAAUACCUCAGCUUGGUAUAGAAUGGCCAAAUAUAUCUCAGCUCAGCAUAAAUGAGACUUUGGAUAGCUUAACUCAUAUCAGGAUAGCUCAUCUCAGCAUAGAUAUAGCCCUUCACAACAAGCAUAUGGCUCGGCAUGCCUUUUCACGAUCAGCACAACAAGCACAUGGCUCAGCAUACCUCCAAAUCUACAUCUCGAAUAUGAAUCCGAGACAUCCAUGAUGCCACCAUAACACUUCCCCC